RNAcentral lists this ribosomal RNA (831 nucleotides) under Triticum aestivum (bread wheat). Its description in RNAcentral is "partial small subunit ribosomal RNA". The record is from RNAcentral. Lineage: Eukaryota; Viridiplantae; Streptophyta; Magnoliopsida; Poales; Poaceae.
AUGGACAAGUUCCACGACAGGCAGCACGUGCGGCUGCGGAGCGGCGUGCACGGCACGUACCUCCACGCCAACGACGACGGGCGGAGCGUCUCCCUCCGCCGGCGCCGCGCGACGCUGGAGACGGCGUGGACGGUGCACAUCUACCAAGGCACGUACCUGCUCCUCCACAGCGCCGCCUACGGCCGAUACCUUGCCGCCACGGCCACGCGGGCGCCGCUCGCGCUCGGCCACCUCGGCUUCCGCGCCGAGCUGCGGGACUACGACCAGCCGGAGGUGGAGGCCAUCAUGUGGCGGGCCGUCGAGGCGGGUUCCAGCGGGGACUUCAUGCUCCGCAACGCCGGCGGCCGCUACCUCCGCGCCAAUGGCAGGCACCUCCCCUGGAACACCCGCGUCAGCGUCGACGACGCCAACAACACCAGCACCAUGAUGUGCUGGACCCUCCAGACCGUCCCCUCCAGAAUGGAUGUGCCUAUCCCUCAUUAUCCUGUUCGCCCCCCCGGCGACUGGUUCGGGCUCAGGCCGGGGGUGUGGCGGACAAUCCGGUUCGUGCGGGCGAACGAAGAGGGGUUCUACGCCGAGGAGGAAGGCUGGGAUGCCUUCCCUUUCAGGGGGAGGUCCGUGCACCAUUUGAGGGACGAGCUGUCCACCCGCGUCAACCUGCACAUCUUCGACCUCGUCGCAUGCGUCCGAGCGGGCCGCUACGGGAGGCCGACGCCGCUCGUCGCCAACCUGCCCCAUGGCGGCUCCGGGGAAACCCUCGAGAUCGUCGUCGUCCAGUGCGGGACUCCUGUCUAUGGUAGGCUGCGAUACCCGGAUGUCCACGCAGAGUAG